Molecule: ribosomal RNA, 875 nt
Filed under: uncultured archaeon pPACMA-G
Lineage: Archaea
Description: bacterial SSU rRNA
Rfam family: Archaeal small subunit ribosomal RNA
Source: RNAcentral
GGCCAUUGCUAUCGGAGUCCGAUUUAGCCAUGCUAGUUGUACGAGUUUAGACUCGUAGCAUAUAGCUCAGUAACACGUGGCCAAACUACCCUACAGACCGCGAUAACCUCGGGAAACUGAGGCCAAUAGCGGAUAUAACUCUCAUGCUGGAGUGCCGAGAGUUAGAAACGUUCCGGCGCUGUAGGAUGUGGCUGCGGCCGAUUAGGUAGAUGGUGGGGUAACGGCCCACCAUGCCGAUAAUCGGUACAGGUUGUGAGAGCAAGAGCCUGGAGACGGUAUCUGAGACAAGAUACCGGGCCCUGCGGGGCGCAGCAGGCGCGAAACCUUUACACUGCACGACAGUGCGACAGGGGGACUCCGAGUGUGAGGGCAUAUAGCCCUCGCUUUUCUGUACCGUAAGGUGGUACAGGAACAAGGACUGGGCAAGACCGGUGCCAGCCGCCGCGGUAAUACCGGCAGUCCAAGUGAUGGCCGAUAUUAUUGGGCCUAAAGCGUCCGUAGCUUGCUGUGUAAGUCCAUUGGGAAAUCGACCAGCUCAACUGGUCGGCGUCCGGUGGAAACUACACAGCUUGGGGCCGAGAGACUCAACGGGUACGUCCGGGGUAGGAGUGAAAUCCUGUAAUCCUGGACGGACCACCAAUGGGGAAACCGCGUUGAGAGACCGGACCCGACAGUGAGGGACGAAAGCCAGGGUCUCGAACCGGAUUAGAUACCCGGGUAGUCCUGGCUGUAAACAAUGCUCGCUAGGUAUGUCACGCGCCAUGAGCACGUGAUGUGCCGUAGUGAAGACGAUAAGCGAGCCGCCUGGGAAGUACGUCCGCAAGGAUGAAACUUAAAGGAAUUGGCGGGGGAGCACCACAACCGGAGGAGCCUGC